GAUGAACGCUGGCGGCGUGCCUAAUACAUGCAAGUCGAGCGAACAGAUGAGGAGCUUGCUCCUCUGACGUUAGCGGCGGACGGGUGAGUAACACGUGGAUAACCUACCUAUAAGACUGGGAUAACUUCGGGAAACCGGAGCUAAUACCGGAUAAUAUAUUGAACCGCAUGGUUCAAUAGUGAAAGACGGUUUUGCUGUCACUUAUAGAUGGAUCCGCGCCGCAUUAGCUAGUUGGUAAGGUAACGGCUUACCAAGGCAACGACGCGUAGCCGACCUGAGAGGGUGAUCGGCCACACGGGAACUGAGACACGGUCCAGACUCCUACGGGAGGCAGCAGUAGGGAAUCUUCCGCAAUGGGCGAAAGCCUGACGGAGCAACGCCGCGUGAAUGAUGAAGGUCUUCGGAUCGUAAAACUCUGUUAUUAGGGAAGAACAAAUGUGUAAGUAACUAUGCACGUCUUGACGGUACCUAAUCAGAAAGCCACGGCUAACUACGUG
Molecule: ribosomal RNA, 497 nt
Filed under: uncultured bacterium
Lineage: Bacteria
Description: partial 16S ribosomal RNA
Rfam family: Bacterial small subunit ribosomal RNA
Source: RNAcentral